CCUGAACGCUGGCGGCGUGGUUAAGACAUGCAAGUCGCACGGACGUAGCAAUACGUUAGUGGCGAACGGGUGAGUAAUGAAUCGCUAAUGUACCCCGGACUCCGGGAUAGCUGCCCGAAA
RNAcentral lists this ribosomal RNA (120 nucleotides) under uncultured bacterium. RNAcentral describes it as "partial 16S ribosomal RNA". It matches the Rfam family "Bacterial small subunit ribosomal RNA", at positions 30 to 156 of the family's 1533-position model. The record is from RNAcentral.